Molecule: ribosomal RNA, 354 nt
Filed under: uncultured eukaryote
Lineage: Eukaryota
Description: LSU rRNA
Rfam family: Bacterial large subunit ribosomal RNA
Source: RNAcentral
UUUGCGCAGCAUAGGUGGGAGGCAUUGAGUUUAUUCUUGCGGGAAUUUAGGAGCCAUCAGUGAGAUACCACUCUGGUAAUGUUAGAUUUCUAACUUUGUAUCAUGAUCUGGUCAAAGAACAGUUUCAGGCGGGCAGUUUGACUGGGGCGGUCGCCUCCCAAAUGGUAACGGAGGCGUACAAAGGUUUCCUCUGAACGUGUAGAAAUCGUAUCUAGAGUGUAAAGGCAUAAGGAAGCUUGACUGUGAGACCUACAAGUCGAGCAGGGACGAAAGUCGGUCUUAGUGAUCUGACGGUGCUGAGUGGAAAGGCCGUCACUCAACGGAUAAAAGUUACUCUAGGGAUAACAGGCUGAA